GCACCUCGCUGCUCCAGCCUCUGGGGCGCAUUCCAACCUUCCAGCCUGCGACCUGCGGAGAAAAAAAAUUACUUAUUUUCUUGCCCCAUACAUACCUUGAGGCGAGCAAAAAAAUUAAAUUUUAACCAUGAGGGAAAUCGUGCACAUCCAGGCUGGUCAGUGUGGCAACCAGAUCGGUGCCAAGAAGAGGAGGAGGAUUUCGGUGAGGAGGCCGAAGAGGAGGCCUAAGGCAGAGCCCCCAUCACCUCAGGCUUCUCAGUUCCCUUAGCCGUCUUACUCAACUGCCCCUUUCCUCUCCCUCAGAAUUUGUGUUUGCUGCCUCUAUCUUGUUUUUUGUUUUUUCUUCUGGGGGGGGUCUAGAACAGUGCCU
This 370-nucleotide long non-coding RNA is filed under the name Homo sapiens (human). Its description in RNAcentral is "long non-coding RNA NONHSAT118360.2". The record is from RNAcentral. Lineage: Eukaryota; Metazoa; Chordata; Mammalia; Primates; Hominidae.